Long non-coding RNA from Heterocephalus glaber (naked mole-rat), 430 nucleotides. Lineage: Eukaryota; Metazoa; Chordata; Mammalia; Rodentia; Bathyergidae. The record is from Ensembl.
GCAAACAUGAAGAUGGGGAUGGAUAGAGUGGGGGAGGGGGGAGAACAAGAACCAAAGUAGAAGCCACAUCACCUUUUCUGUGGAAGGAGGAAGACAGUUUUAAGAGAUUUGCCAGUUUCUCUAUCUCCCAUUCUUUCUGUGUUGCUACUUGGAUUCUAUAUAUUGGCUUAUCUUUCUCCUCUGUGAAUUGUUCUCCUUUGCCAUGCCCCUCUGCCUUGCUGCCUUGCCUUUCAGCCAGCCUACUAUCUGAAACUUCUGCAAACUGUUACUAUGACUGAGUUUGUGAAAGAAAUGUAAGAUCAAAGACGAGAGGAUGACUGGACUGUCUGAAUUCACAUCAGUCCCUGGGUGCCAGAAAAACCAGUUUUGAGGAAGAUGUUUCUACUUGUUAUGCAGUCAAUGAAAGCCAUCAAACACAACCAUGGCAACC